AUUAAGAUACACACUAGGAAGAGAGGCUUAAAACAGAUCCUUCGCUGCCCAUAGAAGGAAUCAAUCCUGCUGAUGUCUUGAGUUUGGAUGUAUAGCCCACAGAUGAGCAAAAAGAAGUUCAAAGAAUGGCUGUUGUCUCCAAGAAGCUUGUGAUUUCAGGAGAGAGAUGAAGAAUGCCCACAAGAGGAGCUGCAUUCUGGAGCCAGGCAGUGCAGUGGAGUGUAUCCCAAGGAGAUGUAGUUACCAACCUUGCAUACCAAAACAAGAGCAAUCCAGACAUCAGAGUACCGGGAA
Molecule: long non-coding RNA, 294 nt
Organism: Suricata suricatta (meerkat)
Lineage: Eukaryota; Metazoa; Chordata; Mammalia; Carnivora; Herpestidae
Exons: 3
Source: RefSeq, a predicted model, not a curated record